AAAUAAGUAAGCUAAACCAAUAAGCUUUUAGACUCAUAUUCUAACUAUAGAAUUAAAUUCUCUUAUUUA
This 69-nucleotide transfer RNA is filed under the name Tetramorium tsushimae. Its description in RNAcentral is "tRNA-Met". The record is from RNAcentral. Lineage: Eukaryota; Metazoa; Arthropoda; Insecta; Hymenoptera; Formicidae.